UCAUUCUUAGCUCAGCUGGGAGAGCAUCUGCCUUACAAGCAGAGGGUCAUAGGUUCGAGCCCUAUAGGCCCCA
This 73-nucleotide transfer RNA is filed under the name Ruminococcus sp. SR1/5. The stretch from base 6 to 67 matches the Rfam family "tRNA", at positions 6 to 65 of the family's 71-position model. Rfam says of the family: Transfer RNA (tRNA) molecules are approximately 80 nucleotides in length. Their secondary structure includes four short double-helical elements and three loops (D, anti-codon, and T loops). The record is from RNAcentral. Lineage: Bacteria; Bacillati; Bacillota; Clostridia; Eubacteriales; Oscillospiraceae.